This 4082-nucleotide long non-coding RNA is filed under the name Nicotiana tabacum (common tobacco). Its description in RNAcentral is "long non-coding RNA (NTAB_LNC000839)". Lineage: Eukaryota; Viridiplantae; Streptophyta; Magnoliopsida; Solanales; Solanaceae. The record is from RNAcentral.
GGGGCUUCAGUGAGAGUUCAUCAUUUAUAAUUUGCUGCUUUUGAGGCUAGUGAAAAAUAUUCAACAUGUUGUGCGAGAGAUUUGGAAACAACAGUUAUCACUUAUCACAUGCCAUCAGUUCUUGCUCGAUCCUUAUCUAUAUGAAAUAAAGCGUGCGUCUAUACCGAUAAGUAGAUAUUGAUUGAUCUCAACUAAUCAAGGGGAAAAUGUUUGAUAUUUUGGUCAAUUCAAAAUAUCAUAAUAAAAAUACCCCCGUACCCUGACAACUUAAAAAAAGUGAAAAGAAGAAAGGAAUGUUGAGGCUAGGAAUGAAGUGCAAAGAGAAAACUGGAGAAAUAAAACUCACAUGCAGACAUCCACUAAUCAAACAAAUCAAAUGCUCAAAAAACAAAAUCAGAGAACAUAGCUUACCAAUUAAUACAAUCGCAGCACACCAGAUUGAUCGGCAAAGGACUGUCAAUCCAACUAAAGAAGAUACUAUCAUGUGACAGAAGCAUUAUUCAAAGUUCAAACUUGCCGCAAUUAUUACUCCCACCGUUCCAGUUUAUGUAAACCUAGCUAUUUCCUUUUUGGUCCGUUCCAAAAAGAAUGACCCCUUUCUAAAUUUGGAAACAAUUUAGCUUAAACUUCCAAUUCUACCCUUAAUGAGAAGCUUUUAUAACCACACAAAUACUCUGGUCCCCAUUUUGACUUGUUUAGGACCACAAAUUCUAAAAAAGUCAUCAUUUUUUCUUAAACUCCGUGAUCAGUCAAACAUGUUCACAUAAAUUGGAACAGAGGGAGUAUUAUUGAAAAAAAUGGAAGGGAAGGAAAAGAUAAAGCUGUAAUUUUGAUUACUUUUGCUCCACGCGUAUAGUAGUCACCGGAACAUCUAUGUACAAGAUAAAAAGUCAUAAGCAAGCUGCGGUAAGGACUUUAUUUUCCUGCAAAACAAUUGUUGAUGUAUAGAAAAACAUGUUACUAAUUUAUAUGAGGGAAUCAAUUAGGAUAUUUGCGAACGAACAUUUAAACUUGUUGCUAAAUUUUUAUGUUUGAGUAGCUUAGUAACUUUUAUUCUCUGUGUAAAAGCAUAGGAGUUAGCAGGACUUCAGAAUAUGCAAGCAUUUGAACUAUCUCGGAGGAGUUGAUUGAAAUAUUUCAAGAAUUUCUCAAGGAUUAAUCUUCAUUUCCUGCACAUACUCUAGUCCCUCUCGAGAUAGUAAUUCUGGGGUUUUCACAUUAUAAAAUGACAUAAAGAUGAUCUCCGAAUGAUCUUCUUAGCUGCUACUUGAUUUUCAAAUGUAUCAACCAAAUCAGACAACCCAAUGAAUGAAAGCUCUUAAUCUUCAUUAUACUCCAGCAUAGAGCGAUAAUGUCUCAAAUUCUAGAGUAAUCUUAAUAUCUCGUUCUGAACACUUAUGUCAUUUGAGUAUCAAAUAAAUCUCAGUUGUAACCUAAAAGCAACAACCAUAAAUUCCAGCUUUGUUUCUUUGAUACUAUGUUGUAGAUUAGUUUUAUGGAGUUACAACCAACAAAUCAGAAGUAGAAAGAUUCAAAAAAUGACGAAGAAACAAUAAUAAUUCAACGAUGAUAGAUAAACAAAAUUGAUUGUCCUUGUAAUAUUGCAUAGAUCAGAGAGCUAUUGUUGAAAUGUGAGACCCGUUUGGCCAUAGAUCACUUUUGACACGGAACCAACCCCCAGAGGAAACAGAGGGACAACAACACAAAACUGCAGCACAUCCCUAUUUUUAUUUCUAAAGCAAGAAAGAACAACGACACUGCCACUCUUCAAUUAAUUUCUAAAUCAAUUCCCAAAUAGAAUUUCAGUGCACCUUUAUCAUCUCUCAACGCAAUUCUAAUGUGCAAAGUCGCCCAAACCUGUAGAAGUAAGAGGUUCUUACUCCCAUGUAGUCUAAAUACUUUUUUUCUUACUAUUUUCUUCAAUCCUUUAUCUUCUUUUUUAUAACAAGAAUAAGUACAACUAUAGAUUUGUUGCCUAACAUAAACUUUUCCUAAGCAUUCAUCCCACAAAUCAAAGUAGGCAAAUAACUUUAAGCUUUUCCUAAUCAUGUAUAUUCCAAUCAAUCAACCUCCAUUCCAUACAUCAUCCUAUUUCUUUGGAUGCUGUCAUAGCCAAAAAGAAGUGACAAAAUAAGACGGUAAACUUUCCUCUUCCAUUGUUAUCUUCGAGAAAUAGAGUAAGACAGUGGACACAUAGAAGGUUUGAAGAUGAAAUUUCAUAAAGAUACCCCACGCCCUAGAUCACUUUCAGCAUUCUAAAGAUGCCAAGUGAAUGUAGAAAUUUGAAAGUUCUAAAAGAUGGAUAUAUAUUCUUUGUUCCGAGUUGGCGAUUUUGGUGUUAUAGAUGUAGUUUAUUGUAAGGUCUGUAAUGUUAUUUGAAAAGUGUUCAUGACGGCUAGUAAGAUGAUAAAGCCCAUAAUACUGUAUGUAAUACCCGAAAGAAUUGUACUCUAGCUAGUUUGUUGAACAUACCAUCACAAUCUCGGUGUUGUUUGUAAUUAGAAAAUUUACCUUUUUAAUCAAAAGCAAUAUAAGGAGAAAAUAUGGUCAAAGUAUAGAAUCAGAUAUGCUGAGCACAUUUUUCCUGAAAUAAAAAGAACUCAAUUUAGUAAAAAUUUUGAUUCAUAUCUUCUCAAGCUCAACCUGAGACUAUACUUUCCUAAAGUCGGAAUAGGAUCGUUCUCCACUUCACGAGAUUUUAAAAAGAACAACUUAAUUUUGUAAAUACUUCAUUAAUCAUUUUUCCCAAAUAAAGUUUUUAAACAUAUAAAAUCUCUAUAAGAAGACAAAAGUGAAAGAACACAAGUAUUUUUCUUGGCUGUACAUUAAAAAUAAAAAGAAUGCAUUUGAAACAUUAGUUUGCUAAUUUCAGUACUGUUGAAGAAGCCUUGUAAAACAUUAAAUUCGGAUAGCCUAACAUACAAUUAUUUCUUGUUAGCUAAGAAGUCCUUUAAAGUAUGCAUCAACUACCGUCAACAGUCAGAUAAAUAUUACUUCUCAUUUAAUUCUAUCCUCUCAUGUCUACAGCAGUUUAGAAAAUCCACAAAAUUGUUUAGAUCCUGGGGCCAUCUUACAAUUACACCAAGAAUACACAAACUGCAAUGACUUGAAUUGAAUACAUGCUAAGGCCCAAUAAGUAUUUUGAAAAAAACUAUAGUUUCUUUCCACAUUGUGCAAAAAAAGCACGAAGGAACUUAUUACUGGAUGUCUUUGUGAAUGUAAUAGAAAAUCUCAUGAAUUAAGCAUAAAAAACCUUUUGUUCUUGGGGAUAAUUGCAUUUUUAAUGAGUUACUAAUAUUGAAAAGGGGAAGUAAGUAAAAGUAAACCAAAAUGUGCAGAACUUACCUGGUACAAGUGAAGCAAUAUUCCUUUCCCCACUUUCAGUUAACAACUUCCUUUAAGAAAAAUCUGAAAAAUCAAUAUUUUGGGACCAUUAUAUUCCUACUAAAUGAAUACAAAAAUAUUCGGUAAUAUCAAAAGUUCAUAUUUCAAACAAAACCCAAGUAAGCGAUACACUAUUCAGUUUAAUAGAGUCUCGUCAAAAAAUAAUAAAAUAGGAGUAAUAAUUUUGAAAAAGAAGAAGAUAAACCCAAUUAAAGAACAUUGUGUGAGAAAAAUAUUGUGCAUGAGUAAAUCAAACAUAUCUACUGACAUGUAUGUAUAACAUUCAAUAAAAUACUGCCCAAAAGUUCAAGAUGCCCAAAAAAUUAUAUUAAAAACAGGAUCCAAACACAUGCAUAGCCGAGAAAACAGAGGAAGAUGCAAAGAAGGUGUCCAAUUCCCUGCUUCUUAGUAGGAGAAACUGAUAGAUAAGUCACCAAAGAAACCCCAAAUUUUCCAUCUUUCAAUUUUCUUUUUCAAACUUUCAGUUCAUACACUUUGAAAACCUAAAUAGACACAAUUCAAUAAUGUAGCCACAUAAGACUCACCAAUCCUUGUAACAUUAAAAAAAUUAGAAAUGGUAAAAGAUAAAAGAUAAAAGAUAUUCUCCAUCUUCAUAAUAGCCAAAGGUAACACAUAAAUAUUAAAAAAAUGAACCCAGAUGGGACUAAAUCUAAAAACUGAGCAAAAUAUUAACAGGG